CCUACGGGAGGCAGCAGUGGGGAAUAUUGGACAAUGGGCGCAAGCCUGAUCCAGCAAUGCCGCGUGGAUGAAGAAGGUUUUCGGAUUGUAAAGUCCUUUCGGCGGGGACGAUGAUGGCGGUACCCGCAGAAGAAGCCCCGGCUAACUUCGUGCCAGCAGCCGCGGUAAUACGAAGGGGGCUAGCGUUGCUCGGAAUGACUGGGCGUAAAGGGCGCGUAGGCGGACAUUUUAGUCAGACGUGAAAUUCCUGGGCUCAACCUGGGGGCUGCGUUUGAUACGGGAUGUCUAGAGUUUGGAAGAGGGUCGUGGAAUUCCCAGUGUAGAGGUGAAAUUCGUAGAUAUUGGGAAGAACACCGGUGGCGAAGGCGGCGACCUGGUCCUUGACUGACGCUGAGGCGCGAAAGCGUGGGGAGCAAACAGGAUUAGAUACCCUGGUAGUCCACGCUGUAAACGAUGUGCGCUGGAUGUUGGGUGACCUAGUCACUCAGUGUCGUAGCUAACGCGGUAAGCGCACCGCCUGGGGAGUACGGCCGCAAGGUUGAAACUANAAGAAUGACG
RNAcentral lists this ribosomal RNA (558 nucleotides) under uncultured bacterium. RNAcentral describes it as "bacterial SSU rRNA". It matches the Rfam family "Bacterial small subunit ribosomal RNA", at positions 338 to 915 of the family's 1533-position model. The record is from RNAcentral.